Molecule: long non-coding RNA, 1278 nt
Filed under: Bemisia tabaci
Lineage: Eukaryota; Metazoa; Arthropoda; Insecta; Hemiptera; Aleyrodidae
Description: lncRNA ENSSSA1UGG004161
Source: RNAcentral
AAAGUUGAUGUGGUGCUGAUUGAUGGAUUUUUCUUACUGCACACGAUGGGUGACAUACCUCGAACUUUCGGUCAGAUUUCGAGGAAAUUUCUGCAACUGGCUACAAAACACAAAGCUGGACAAGUUUUUGUAGUAUUCGACAAUUACCUAAAACCAAGUAUCAAGGAUCAAGAGCGACAACGACGAAUGCAGCACAUAGAAAGCGAAGCCUACAUUAUUCAUGGACCAGAUCAAAUCAAGCCGACCAAAUUUAUGAAUUGCCUUCGCAAUGACGACUUCAAAACAAACUUCGUUAAAUUCAUUGCAGACCAUUGGCAGGAUCCAUCGUGCGCUGAAUAUUUUAAGGACAAGAGCUUAAUCAUGAACGAGAGGAAUACUUGUUACGAGUUUACAUCUAGCAGCGGCGCCGUUACGCGAAUUCGGAAUGAAAAGUUCGAAUGUGUGCAUGAGGAAGCAGACACUCGUCUAUUCUACGCAAUCUCAAAAUUACCGCAGGGGAAAAAUGUCAUCGUCCGUUGCAAUGACACUGACGUGUUGAUAAUUUUGCUCGGAAACUUCCCAAAAAUUCCGGAAAAAACAAAUAUAUGGCUCGAAGUAGGGGUUUUUAGCAACAAUUCUCUUCGAUUUUUGAAUAUCAACACUUUAUUUUCUUUACUCGGUACAGAACUAUGUCUUGCGCUACCAGGUUUCCAUGCAUUUACCGGGUGUGACACCUCCUCGAGCUUCUUCAAGAAAGGAAAAAUCACCCCUUUCAAAAUAAUGCAAAAGAAUCCGGAAUUCGUCGAUUUUUUCAAGAAUUUACACACACACCGUUCAUCCAGCUCCAUUUCCACAUGCCAGGCCGAAAAGUUUGUAUGCAGCUUGUAUGGGCUGUCAAAGUGUGACGACGUCAACGAGGGGAGACUGCGAAAAUUCGAGAUUACGUACAAGCCCAAAAAACUAAAUGAGCCUCUCAUAAAAAAAUUCUCUAAAUUUGACUCGCUGUCUAUCCCCCCUUGCCGUGCAUCACUGCUUCAGCAUCUCAAGAGGAGCAUCUACCAAACCUGUAUCUGGAUCAACGCGGACAAAGCAGACCCAACAGAAGAUCUUAAACCUGAAGAGUUUGGCUGGAAAAUUGGAUCUUCACACACUUUUGAACCACUUUGGUUCGUCGGAGAUGCCGCGCCAUCAACGGUGAUCAACGCUCUUGUUGACGUUGAGUCGUCAGAUGAAGAAUACAGCGCUUCUGAAUGUUCUUCAGAUGAAGAAGAAGAAGGGGCGGAGGCACAAGAAGUAUAA